UGCAUUUCCAUGGCGGCACCAUACUAAAACUGGAACGAUACAGAGAAGAUUAGCAUGGCCCCUGCGCAAGGAUGACACACAAAUUUGUGCGUGAAGCGUUCCAUAUUUUU
Small nuclear RNA from Microtus ochrogaster (prairie vole), 110 nucleotides. NCBI's taxonomy places the organism in Eukaryota, Metazoa, Chordata, Mammalia, Rodentia, Cricetidae. The record is from Ensembl.